GUGGCAAACCUGUAGGUGCUGGAUGGAAGUGUUCAAGGGUGCAAUCUGUAACUUGUGAGAUUCUCGUAUAAAAGGAAGAGAUAAGGGUUCUGGAUGAUUCAUUCACCAUUCUCAUCUUUUCACCCACAACCCUUUUCUCUCUGGUUUUAGUUGUUACGAUUUGUUGAUCUGUUGUCUUGUAUUCUUGUUGAUCCUAUGGGAUCUUGUAUAGUUGUAUUGUUUCUCUUGAUCAACUGACAUCAGUUGAUCUUGUUUUGUAUCUUGUUGAUUUAGAUCUUACUGUUGGUAAGAUCUAGGGUUUGGUUGGGCGUUUUCUGGGUUGGUAAACUAAUAAAAUUUUUCCAUCGCCAUUUUGUCACUACUUAGGUGUUAUUGUUCAUUUGCUAUUGUUCUAUAUAAUUUUACAUGGUAUCAGAGCGAAAUCGCUCCUGAUCUGUGUUUUUUUCUGCUGUGAUAUUUGAUCCGUUUGUUGAUUUGUGGUUUAGGUUCGCUCCUUGUGUUCUAGGGUUUGCGGAUCUGACUGUUGUGGAUCUAGAUCGUCUUGAUCUUGGAAUUUGAAGGUAUGCAUUACCAGACCUUAGGUACUAUGGAGCUUGCACGGGAGGCGCUGUCGUUGUGGGCACGGAUCGUGAAUGUUUCGUUAAACACUUUAUGACAUUUCAUACUGUACUUAUGUUGGGUUUUAUUUAUACGCUUCCACUAAACAGUGAUGACACACUUAUAUUUUGAACACCUUUCAUAUUGGUGGUUGAAUGACAUUACUUUUACUUAUUAA
This 775-nucleotide long non-coding RNA is filed under the name Helianthus annuus (common sunflower). Lineage: Eukaryota; Viridiplantae; Streptophyta; Magnoliopsida; Asterales; Asteraceae. The record is from RNAcentral.